Molecule: ribosomal RNA, 301 nt
Filed under: uncultured bacterium
Lineage: Bacteria
Description: partial 16S ribosomal RNA
Rfam family: Bacterial small subunit ribosomal RNA
Source: RNAcentral
CAGUCGCCGCGGUAAUACGAAGGGGGCUAGCGUUGCUCGGAAUCACUGGGCGUAAAGGGUGCGUAGGCGGGUCUUUAAGUCAGGGGUGAAAUCCUGGAGCUCAACUCCAGAACUGCCUUUGAUACUGAAGAUCUUGAGUUCGGGAGAGGUGAGUGGAACUGCGAGUGUAGAGGUGAAAUUCGUAGAUAUUCGCAAGAACACCAGUGGCAAAGGCGGCUCACUGGCCCGAUACUGACGCUGAGGCACGAAAGCGUGGGGAGCAAACAGGAUUAGAUACCCCCGUAGUCCCUGUCUCUUAUAC